UCUACGGCUACCUUGUUACGACUUCACCCCUCUUGCAGGUAACACCUUCGGCAACAUACGUCGACUUCGGGUGUCGCCUACUCGAUUGGUGUGACGGGCGGUGUGUACAAGGCCCAAGUACAUAUUCACCGCGGUAUGGCUGACCCGCGAUUACUACCGAUUCCAUCUUCAUGGGGUCGGGUUGCAGACCCCAAUCCGCACUGGGGGCACCUUUUUGAGAUUUGCUCGUCCUUGCAGACUUGCUCCUCAUUGUAGUGCCCAUUGUAGCACGUGUGUCGCCCAGAGCAUAAGGAUCAUAAUGACUUGACGUCAUCCCCUCCUUCCUCCGGAUAUUCUCCGGCAGUCCCCUUAUAGUACCCGGCAUUACCCGCUGGCAAUUAAGAGCAGGGGUUGCGCUCGUUACGGGACUUAACCCAACGUCCCACGACACGAGCUGACGACAGCCAUGCAAUACCUGCCACGGCUCCUCAAGCAAAGCUUGAGGUCGUUUCCCUUUCAGGAUCCUACUACCGCUAGGUCAAGCCCUGGUAAGGUUCUUCGCUUAUCAUCGAAUUAAACCACGUGCUCCACCGGUUGUGUGGGCCCCCGUCAAUUCCCUUGAGUUUU
This 606-nucleotide ribosomal RNA is filed under the name uncultured bacterium. RNAcentral's name for it is "partial 16S ribosomal RNA". The record is from RNAcentral.